This 164-nucleotide ribosomal RNA is filed under the name Memecylon macrodendron. Its description in RNAcentral is "5.8S ribosomal RNA". It matches the Rfam family "5.8S ribosomal RNA". Rfam says of the family: 5.8S ribosomal RNA (5.8S rRNA) is a component of the large subunit of the eukaryotic ribosome. It is transcribed by RNA polymerase I as part of the 45S precursor that also contains 18S and 28S rRNA. The record is from RNAcentral. Lineage: Eukaryota; Viridiplantae; Streptophyta; Magnoliopsida; Myrtales; Melastomataceae. RNAcentral also lists the same sequence under 2 other names.
AAAAAUGACUCUCGGCAACGGAUAUCUCGGCUCUUGCAUCGAUGAAGAACGUAGCGAAAUGCGAUACUUGGUGUGAAUUGCAGAAUCCCGUGAACCAUCGAGUCUUUGAACGCGAGUUGCGCCCAAAGCCAUUUGGUUGAGGGCACGCCUGCCUGGGUGUCGUG